Molecule: long non-coding RNA, 2080 nt
Filed under: Equus asinus (donkey)
Lineage: Eukaryota; Metazoa; Chordata; Mammalia; Perissodactyla; Equidae
Description: lncRNA (ENSEASG00005033597.1)
Source: RNAcentral
CGCGGCGGGAGGUCACCGGCGUGGUUCCCGGGACCUCGAGGUCCGCGCGCCCCCCGCCCGCCCCGCCCCCGGCCCUCUCCAACUGCGCCGACCCAGGACAAAGCUGUCACGCCCCAGCCGACCUCUCCAGGACACCUGGCCGUACAAGGAAGGGGUCGUCCGAGCUGACCCCAGACUCCCGGCAUCCCGGGACUGGCGAAGCUUCUGUACCCCGCAACCCAAGCAAGGGCCCGAGCCGGCGCAGACUCGGCCCCGCAGAGACCACCCCACGGAGCUCUUACGGAGCCCCCACCGAUCUCCGACGGAACCGCCAUUGAGACCUCGAGGAGCCCCCUCUGAGACCCUAAGGAGCCCCAAUGAAAUCCCACAAAUUCCUCACCAAGACCCCACGAAGGACCCACGGAAGACCCUCAAGAAGGACCCAUGAGCCCCCACUAAGACCCACGGAAGCCCGUCGCCACCCAGCCUGUGAAGGCCCAGCUGCAGGCCGGUCUGCCCAGCCCUGCGCAGUGACCAAGCACGGUGACUCAGCGCUCAGAACCCAGAGCUCCUUGGAAAAAUAAGUCGGCCAUCCAAGGCCACCAAGCCUCUGGAGAUGUCGAGCAUUGAAUGUAUAGUUUCACUUCCCAAACCACCCUGUGGCCUUAGGCAAAUGACCUAACUUCUCCCAACCCCGGUUUCUAGGUUCUGCUUUCUGCAAAGCCAGUAAACCCUCCUGACCCAGCCAUAGGCAGGCUGUCAGUCCUGACAGCCCGUGAUGUCAAGCUCCCUGAAAAUCACAAAGUGAUGGAGAGACAGCAGCCACUAACAUUUCCGGGAGUUCUUCCCUCUCAAGCAGCCCCUUUAGUCUUCCCAGGACCCUGGAAAAGGAGGUUGGACAUGUUUGCACUGGGGUGUAACUGGUGAUAAAUAUCCAAGUGGACUUGAGAGAACUUGGAAUGCAAUGCCGCCUGCUUCCUGCUCCCGUGGGACCCACGUGACUCUCAUCCCAGAGGAGACACCUGUGCCUCCAACCCGGUGGCUUGCCUCCUCGUCCCUCAGGAUGUAACGACAACGACAAGUUUACUGUGUGAGGUCCCAGGCCGAGCGCCAACGCUGAAUGGUUCAUUCAGACCUCACAUUGUCUGGCACAUUUUCAAGCAUUCUUCCCCGUGUUUUGUAGACAAGAAAACCAAGGCUCCCUGAGGGCCAGGUUAAGUAACUUGUCCAGCUGCUCACCACGGCGCAAAGAUGAAGCUGAGUUUUGAAAUACCACAUCAUGCGGUAUUUAGAGAAGAAGAUUGAAAUGGACUUUUCAGAAGAGGUGGGGAGGGACAAUUUUGACAUUAUCUUUUUUCUCCUGAUCAUAUAAGCAAUGCAUGCUCAUUGUUUGUUUAAUUAAGAAAAAGUCAGAGUUUGAAAAGACAUUAGCAGAGGAGUGGUGGUGAGGUUUCCCCUCGUCUGCCGGUUUCUUUCUAAGAACUAAGGGAAAUGACUGAGCCCUCAGAGGGGAGGGAGGGAGGAGAGAAUGUCCUGGCAUUAAAUCUGAGCGGAGAGCAUCGUAACCCUGCAGGGGAGGUGUUCCAUCCACGUGCCGUGCUUCCAGACAACCUUGCAAAGCAUCGGAACCCGUGUUCAUGAUCGGUGGCAGUGGGUCCGAAACAAGCCUGAUUCUCUGGAUUUCUGCAUUUCGGGUGGCCAGGCUCUCUGCGCAGCUGUGACAGUGACCCUUCCCCUGACUCAGCUCUAGUUGGACUCCUCUAAGCCUCAAGGCCCCACACUCAGGCUCUGUCUUCCCACAUUUAGCCCAGUUUUAGCGGAAAUCCCCCACCCUCGAUAUUGUCACCUCGGCCUCACUUUAGCAAGAAUCCCGUGGAGUUGGUCUAGCAAGAACGCCCCCAGUCUUGUGUUUCCUCCUAGUAACUUCCCAUCCACCACCACCCAAUACACACCCUACUCCUUGGCUCUGAAUCCCCACUUGUCCUUAUUGUGUUCAGAGCUGAGCCUCUCAGUCUCUCCCCGCUACUGCAAAACCCCAGUGCUGUGGCCCCUACGCUUGUCAGGAUGGCCCCUGAAUAAAAUCUGCCUUACGGUUCUUUAA